RNAcentral lists this long non-coding RNA (1418 nucleotides) under Homo sapiens (human). RNAcentral's name for it is "long intergenic non-protein coding RNA 1229". The record is from RNAcentral. Lineage: Eukaryota; Metazoa; Chordata; Mammalia; Primates; Hominidae.
AAGGGCAGGAGGUAACCAUUAAAGAGGACCAUCAUGUAGUGUGAGGAGUCAACAUUUCACACUAGAAAGCCCUUGGUUCAAGUUUUGUCUCUGCCACCUACAGAUUUUGUAACCCUGAGGAAACUAGCUACCUCUUUAUGUACUGCCCUAUGGAGAGGCACACAUGUCAAGAAACUGAGGGAGUGCCUUCCAGUCAACAGCCAGCCAGGAACUAAGGUGCUCAGUACAGCAGCCUCCACAAAGGACUGAACAAUGCCAACAGCUAUUUGACUGUGCUUGGAAGAUCUCCGUUUAGUUAACCCUUCAGAUGAGACCGCAGCCCUGGCCAGCAAACAAAUUGCAGCCUAUGGAAAGACCUUAAGGCAGAAGCACCCAACUGAACCACCCGAGGGCUCUGACUUACAGAAACUGUGAGCAUAUAGUGAAAUGGCCUCUACCUUAUUUUGAAUGGAUUUCUGGGAUAAAGUUCUUCAGUGAUAACAUGUUUGAAGCGGCUAUCUUAUGUGCCCAUGUUACAUGCUCAUGAUAAAGCUGCAUUUCCUGAGGGGACACCAAUGGAUACACCUCUGCCUGGCACGCAGCUUAGAGGCUAAAUGUAUGAAAAGCAACACCAUGCAAAUCAUUUUGAAACUGCUGUGGAACUCUCACGGGACCCUCCAUUCUAGACAUCCAGUCCCACUAGUGAUCUGACCAUGAAACCUACUAAGAGACUUCCAGAAGAAGAUGACCUCUGAAAGGAGAAAACUUUCUUCCAAGCUUCUGUGGAACAAGAAGAUGCCAUCCCUUUGGUGGAGCCCAAAGGGAAACCAGUGAGAUCAUUUGUACAAAUCUUGAAACCAAAGCACAGCCUGUAUGAACCCAUGUUGAACCCUGGACUUUCAGGACUACUGUAUGGCUAACCACAGCCCUGCAAGGCCAGGCUCAGCAUGUCACAGUUUUGCCACUGAACAAGAAUCUUUCGAAGGAUCGCAAAUACUACAUGGAAAAUGACUGUAUUCUUUCUGCAAGGCCACUCUCUUAGACAUCACCCUAACAAAAACAAUUACGGGUUGGAAGAGGAGAAAGGAUGCAAAGUUUGUGCCUUGACCUAAAAAAGGUCAUGAGCACCUCUACCGGUUCUUGGAAACAUUAGUUGCAGUGGAUCUCAAAUUCUAUUGCGCAAAAGAACGACCUGGUGACCCUCUAAAAGUGUAGAUUCUCUGGUUUCACCCCUAGACCUUGUGACUCACAUGUCCAGUGAGGCCAGGAACUCCUCACUGUUAACCUGUGCCCUAUUUUAACAAGCCCUGCUGGGAGUCGGGAUGUUGGGGGUCCCCACACCACACUGAAAUAGAGGAAUUCCCUGCUCAAAGAUCCCGUUAUGUCCUGAUUACAAUCUGCAAUGAGAUUAUGAAAUCAUUAAAUCAUGAUUAAGCCAA